GAUGAACGCUGGCGGCGUGCCUAAUACAUGCAAGUCGAGCGAACAGACGAGGAGCUUGCUCCUCUGACGUUAGCGGCGGACGGGUGAGUAACACGUGGAUAACCUACCUAUAAGACUGGGAUAACUUCGGGAAACCGGAGCUAAUAACGGAUAAUAUAUUGAACCGCAGGGUUCAAAAGUGAAAGACGGUUUUGCUGUCACUUAUAGAUGGAUCCGCGCCGCAUUAGCUAGUUGGUAAGGUAACGGCUUACCAAGGCAACGAUGCGUAGCCGACCUGAGAGGGUGAUCGGCCACACUGGAACUGAGGCACGGUCCAGAGUCCUACGGGAGGCAGCAGUAGGGAAUCUUCCGCAAUGGGCGAAAGCCUGACGGAGCAACGCCGCGUGAGUGAUGAAGGUCUUCGGAUCGUAAAACUCUGUUAUUAGGGAAGAACAAAUGUGUAAGUAAAUAUGCACGUCUUGACGGUACCUAAUCAGAAAGCCACGGCUAACUACGUG
RNAcentral lists this ribosomal RNA (497 nucleotides) under uncultured bacterium. RNAcentral's name for it is "partial 16S ribosomal RNA". It matches the Rfam family "Bacterial small subunit ribosomal RNA", at positions 28 to 507 of the family's 1533-position model. The record is from RNAcentral.